RNAcentral lists this ribosomal RNA (119 nucleotides) under Helianthus annuus (common sunflower). Lineage: Eukaryota; Viridiplantae; Streptophyta; Magnoliopsida; Asterales; Asteraceae. The record is from RNAcentral.
GUUUGCGAUCAUACCAGCACUAAUGCACCGGAUCCCAUCAGAACUCCGCAGUUAAGCGUGCUUGGGCGAGAGUAGUACUAGGAUGGGUGACCCCCUGGGAAGUCCUCGUGUUGCAACCU